AAACAUUAAUGCAGUAUAGUGCAACAUCAAAGGUAGUAUAAUUAAAAAUUAAUAUAGUACAGUGUAGCACUAAACGUUGUACCAAUAUUAUUAUAAUAUAAUGUUAAUGCAAUACAGUAUAAUACAAUAUAUCUGCAUUAAAAUAAUAUAAUACAACAUAAUACAAUAUAAUAUGCCGAACGCAAUCUUAGAGUUUAAUCUUGACAGUUGACAUUAUUUUUUGUAUAAAUUUUAUUAUUCUUGCGUUGGGUUAGGCUAUAUGGGUUCACUAAUAUGAACUCAGCCACACCCAAACAUUAAUAAGAUUGAAAACAAAGAUUGAACCAAGGGCAAUACUAUCGUCAGUUGCCUUUAGGAGCGACUGACAUAGUUGCUGCUCGACAGGGGGACACGUGACCCUCUUUUUUUUCGGUUCCCAUACAAUUCGUGAUUAAGUAAACCCAUAUUCUUUAUGCUUAAUUAUAUAUUAUCAUUUCUUUCAGUUUUUCUGAAAAAUUAAAAUUUAUUUAAGAGUUUAAAUUGACUAUAAUAUUUGUUUAACAUGACAAUAACACCUAACGUAAAUGUUUCUUCCUCAAAAUUUUAUUUUUCAGAGAUAA
This 599-nucleotide long non-coding RNA is filed under the name Citrus x clementina. RNAcentral describes it as "Citrus clementina (C. clementina) long non-coding RNA (CCLE_LNC001859)". Lineage: Eukaryota; Viridiplantae; Streptophyta; Magnoliopsida; Sapindales; Rutaceae. The record is from RNAcentral.